GAUGAACGCUGGCGGCGUGCCUAAUACAUGCCAGUCGAGCGAACAGACGAGGAGCUUGCUCCUCUGACGUUAGCGGCGGACGGGUGAGUAACACGUGGAUAACCUACCUAUAAGACUGGGAUAACUUCGGGAAACCGGAGCUAAUACCGGAUAAUAUAUUGAACCGCAUGGUUCAAUAGUGAAAGACGGUUUUGCUGUCACUUAUAGAUGGAUCCGCGCCGCAUUAGCUAGUUGGUAAGGUAACGGCUUACCAAGGCGACGAUGCGUAGCCGACCUGAGAGGGUGAUCGGCCACACUGGAACUGAGACACGGUCCAGACUCCUACGGGAGGCAGCAGUAGGGAAUCUUCCGCAAUGGGCGAAAGCCUGACGGAGCAACGCCGCGUGAGUGAUGAAGGUCUUCGGAUCGUAAAACUCUGUUAUUAGGGAAGAACAAAUGUGUAAGUAACUAUGCACGUCUUGACGGCACCUAAUCAGAAAGCCACGGCUAACUACGUG
RNAcentral lists this ribosomal RNA (497 nucleotides) under uncultured bacterium. RNAcentral describes it as "partial 16S ribosomal RNA". It matches the Rfam family "Bacterial small subunit ribosomal RNA", at positions 28 to 507 of the family's 1533-position model. The record is from RNAcentral.